Molecule: ribosomal RNA, 569 nt
Filed under: uncultured bacterium
Lineage: Bacteria
Description: bacterial SSU rRNA
Rfam family: Bacterial small subunit ribosomal RNA
Source: RNAcentral
GUGGGGAAUUUUGGACAAUGGGCGCAAGCCUGAUCCAGCCAUGCCGCGUGCGGGAAGAAGGCCUUCGGGUUGUAAACCGCUUUCGGCCGGAACGAAAUCGCCCGGGUGAACAUCCCGGGUGGAUGACGGUACCGGAAGAAGAAGCACCGGCUAACUACGUGCCAGCAGCCGCGGUAAUACGUAGGGUGCGAGCGUUAAUCGGAAUUACUGGGCGUAAAGCGUGCGCAGGCGGUCUCGUAAGACAGGUGUGAAAUCCCCGGGCUCAACCUGGGAACUGCGCUUGUGACUGCGAGGCUGGAGUGUGGCAGAGGGAGGUGGAAUUCCACGUGUAGCAGUGAAAUGCGUAGAGAUGUGGAGGAACACCGAUGGCGAAGGCAGCCUCCUGGGCCAGCACUGACGCUCAUGCACGAAAGCGUGGGGAGCAAACAGGAUUAGAUACCCUGGUAGUCCACGCCCUAAACGAUGACGACUAGUUGUUGGGGUAGAAGUACCUUAGUAACGCAGCUAACGCGUGAAGUCGUCCGCCUGGGGAGUACGGUCGCAAGAUUAAAACUCAAAGGAAUUGACGG